GUUUCUUCUUCAGUCAUCUGCCCAUGGGACACCGUGCUUGGCCCAAAGAUAGUAUGCCGCAACUGGUCCUCGUCCACCAAAUUCAUACAACUCCGGAGCUGUGUGAUGCUUGUCUAUCUCUUCUAGAACCGGACUAAGAAUGUUCCAUGCUGCUGCAACCUCAUCGCUUCUCAUGAACAGAUGAUUGUCUCCGUCAAUUACAUCAUGAAUUAGGUGUUCAUAUGAGUCUGGAACAAAGAUGAGAAUGCAAAACUUGCCUGUCUUUAUAGAGCAAGUUAAGUUCAGAAGCGUCUAGCUGAAGACCUAAACCAGGAACCUUGUUGUUGAUUUUCACCAGGAUGGCCUCAUCAGGUUUCCAGGAACAUGCCGGAAUUGCACAUGAAUCUCCACUCUUUCAACAUUAAGGCACACCAAUCAAUUGUUAUGACAGUUGGAUAUGUCUAUGAGUAGGAAUAAUUAUUCUUACCUGUGUUUAAUGAGGCCAGUGCCAACUCUUACAAGGAAAGGUACACCAUCCCAACGUGCAUUAUCAAUAUACAAGGCUGC
Molecule: long non-coding RNA, 546 nt
Organism: Arabidopsis thaliana (thale cress)
Lineage: Eukaryota; Viridiplantae; Streptophyta; Magnoliopsida; Brassicales; Brassicaceae
Product: other RNA
Exons: 3
Source: RefSeq